AGUCAUUCUUUACCACUGCAGUCUGAAAACUGGGAGUCUACUGGAGUCUUCUUGAAAUUAUUCUGCUGGAUUUGGCCGUCAGAGUGUUUUUCUGGAGCCCCGGCUGGAGGACAGUGGCUACCAGGAGCAUGUUUUUCUCAUGAUGGAGUUCGGCAUCUUCUAGGCUGGUAGCUGAAUAUUUGUUGAAGAAAUACAUCUGGGGACAAGGACCCUUUCUUGAAUCUCAUAAAUCACACAUGCCUUUUCCU
Long non-coding RNA from Mustela lutreola (European mink), 248 nucleotides. RefSeq lists it as uncharacterized. The transcript is spliced from 3 exons. The record is from RefSeq and is a predicted model, not a curated record. NCBI's taxonomy places the organism in Eukaryota, Metazoa, Chordata, Mammalia, Carnivora, Mustelidae.